This 414-nucleotide small RNA is filed under the name Shewanella loihica PV-4. RNAcentral's name for it is "cspA thermoregulator". It matches the Rfam family "cspA thermoregulator". The record is from Rfam by way of RNAcentral. Lineage: Bacteria; Pseudomonadati; Pseudomonadota; Gammaproteobacteria; Alteromonadales; Shewanellaceae.
CUCAGCUUGAAGGUUGGGCUUAACUUUAUGUGUUCAAUACGACCAGUUCGUCCUGUUAACAUAAGUAAUACCGGCAUUUUCCAGCUCUACUGCCGUUUAAGGCUUUAUUUUAUUUAGUUACAGGAUUUAUAUCAUGUCUCAAGUUACUGGCGUUGUUAAGUGGUUCAACUCUGACAAAGGUUUUGGUUUUAUCGAGCAAGAGUCUGGCCCAGACGUUUUCGUACACUUCCGUGCGAUCAACUCUGACGGUUUCAAAACUCUAGACGAAGGUCAGAAAGUGCAGUUCACUGUGACUCAAGGUCAAAAAGGUCCACAAGCUGAGAACGUAACUGUUAUCUAAGCUGACCUUUGGGUAACCCAAGGUUACCUAAAAACAGAAUUCCAAGAGCUGUGAUGAGUAUCACAGCUCUUUUU